Nilaparvata lugens (brown planthopper) is the source of this 290-nucleotide long non-coding RNA. RefSeq lists it as uncharacterized. NCBI's taxonomy places the organism in Eukaryota, Metazoa, Arthropoda, Insecta, Hemiptera, Delphacidae. The record is from RefSeq and is a predicted model, not a curated record. The transcript is spliced from 3 exons.
UUUGCUAGUAGAGAGUGGAUUUUCUGUGCUUUUUUUUGUAAUAUUUAAAUAAAUUAAUAACUAACUUUCUUCGUGUGAAUUAAACUACAACCCAAUACGAAGCUAAAUUUACUUCAAUUUUGGCAGCUAAUUAUAGGAACACCCUGGUGAUUGAGAUGAAGAACUUCAAGGCGAUGAGAGUGGACAGCAUAGGCAAAGAUUUGGACAGUGGACAAAACGGACUUCGCAGCCACAGAACAACAUGAGUCACUUCUCUUCUGCUUCUGCUACAACGUCAUCUUCUUCUUCUG